CUCAUGUGUUUAAAGCUGGUAAAUUCUACCUCCUGACGACACGCUCUCAGCAGUUCCAGCAGGUGGGAAAUGGAGGGUUACAAGGGCGGAAAGGAUCAUCAAAAGAGAGGACGGAAGAAGCAGAGCCAAGCUGGAAAAGACUCUGGAUGGCUGGCGAGGAGGAGGAUUAAAGGGCUGUAAGCAGAGGAAAUCCUAUCCAUCAGAAGAGGAUGGAGGCAGAGCCGGGGACUUCUGCUCCUGCUGCCAAGUUAAUAUGGUACGAGAACCAGCUGGGUCGGGUCUGGACACGCUUUUCUGUUCUGCAGCUCACAGAAUUUUUUUGUGACUUCAACUUCAGUGAUCUUUGGUGCCCCUGAAGGCAAGUAGCACACCUGAAUCAUAAAGCUUCAGAUGAGUUGAGUUCAAAGUUUUAUUUUCUCCUUUUAAAGCCCUCAAUAAAUUAGGGCAAAGGUAGUUUGGAAUCCACCCUCCUGCCUUGGCGUUCCUCUGGGAUUAUUAAGGUUGGCUAAGCAAUACGCUCUUGAGAAACCAGGUGUAACGAGACCUGGGCGGAGGGAUCUGGGGGUUGUUUGUGGAACUUUCUCCUCUUCUGUGGCAUAUGCCAGAGUCUUUCCGGAGCGAUCCUGCGAGCUGGGCGCCAUCGCUACGUGGUGAAGUCGUGGCGGACACAAGAGAGAGGAAAGGGGUCACUGAAUUCUGGGCUGCAGGCUCAGUACAUCUCUUCACGCCCUCCACCCCCCUUUACCUUCUCCCCCAUCAUCUUUAGAAGCCUAGUUUGCUAAUAUUCAAAGAGAAGUAAUGCUUCAGAGCUCUGCCACCAACUUGACUCGAGUUCUGAGGGUUAAAAUGAUAUAAUACAGUCAAAAUGAACAUUCUGUACAAAUCUAAGUUGAUCCUAAAGGAAGCAAUUAAUUGUCACUGUUCUGUUUCCCUUAUCUUUAUGUGGAAUCAUAUUUUGUCCUCGCUGUCUAAUGUUUUUACAUUUCCAGCAAAAUAGUUGAUUCUAACGCUCUUUUAAAAAUUAUAGUGUCGGGGUAGUCAGCAAUUCCUGUUUCUUCUCUGAGCAUGUGUACCUGCAAAUCUCCUCCUGCUGCAGCGACUAACGUGCUUUUUGAAUCCAAGCCUGCAGAGAUGCCAUUUGCUAUAAUUUUCCAGGUUGUGCUGUUUCCUCAGGGAAAACUCAGAGAGCCUGCGACAUGUAUGUAUGUUGAGACAGGACGGGAACUUAGAGCAGCAGAAGGAAUGUGGCAUAAGGUGGCUCCAUUCCAAGCCCCUAGUAUGCCCCCUCAAUCACGCCAAAAUCCUGUUCUAGAAGAUCUGACCCGCUCAAAUCUGGUUCCCAACAAAAACAACUGACAAAAGUAGGUGGGAGUGGGAACUGUGGAAGGAUCAGCCCCCCACGAAUGAGCUUGCUGAUCUUACAAAUGCCUUCCUUUCGAAUAGAGUGGAACUUAGAAAAACAGAGGCUCUCUUGCAGGAAGAAAACAAAAAGAGAAAAUGAACUCCUUAUCAAAGAUAAAGGAAAUCUUUUUCACUCUGCUUUGUACUUUGAUCUAAACCUACUGGAAGUCAGACCCAAAAGAGCUACAACCCCAAAUUGGUAAGAAUAUCAUGCUGUCAGCUCCAUGGGGUUUGAAAAAAGCUGAGAAGUGAUUCCAUUCCUCAGGGUCCUCCAGGACAUUCUCCAGUGAUCUUCACGGUGAUACCAGCUGCUUCUCUACCUCUGGUUAUUUACUAGAGGGUGUUCUGCAUGGAGAAGAAGGACCCCUUUCUACUUUAUUCCAAUGUAGUGGUCAUUUUUAUAGCCCUUUAUCUCCGUGGUCCCCAAAGUAUUUUACAGAGGAAUCUAAAUCUAUUAUUAUGGGGAAAAUACAGACUUUUGAGGAACUGAAAUGAGAAAACCCUUUGGCUAGAAUAACUUUUCCUUUAUUUCAUACAGGCUCUCAGUAACAUAGAACCUAACUAUGCAGUAAAUAGAUUCAAAGUCAUAGAGAAAAUGACCCAAAGAUUAUUUUUUUGUUUUUACUCUUUUGUUACGUUCUUUGAAUCAAUUUAGAAAGUUAACGAUUUUCAAAGUGGGGUAGUCUUUUACUUACACAUUUACAAAUCAACAUUGACACAUGUCCUUAAAUAAAAUUAAAAACCAACUACUAAUCAUUUAAAUCAUGGUGCAAAAAAGAGCUUGUUAUAACCAGCAGACCAAAGGACCAUUUAUAGAGUAAAAGGUAGAUGAAUUAGACCGAAGGGGAAGUAUGGAGGAUUAACCUAAGUUACUGAUUGUUCCUUUUCUCAAAAUUCUUUUUGGCAAAGAUUAAAUUAUACCAGGGCUUCCCUGGUGGUGCAGUGGUUGAGAGUCCGCCUGCAAAAAAAAAAAAAAAAAAAAAAAAAAAGUUAAAUUAUACCAAAUAUCAAUCAGUUUUUUUUGUUUGUUUUUUGUUUUUUGUUUUUAUGGCGGUACGCGGGCCUCUCACUGUUGUGGCCUCUCCCGUUGCGGAGCACAGGCUCCGGACGCGCAGGCUCAGCGGCCAUGGCUCAUGGGCCCAGCCGCUCCGCGGCAUGUGGGAUCUUCCCGGACUGGGGCACGAACCCGUGUCCCUGCAUCGGCAGGUGGGCUCUCAACCACUGCGCCACCAGGGAAGCCCAUCAAUCAGUUUUUUGAUGUUGAGAGGACUGAGGUCCUCGAAGUUGAGAGACCUCACCAUGGUUACAAGGGUAAAUUCCAGAUCCAGACACGAUCUUCUUGCCCUUGAGUCACAUGGUUUUUUAACUACUCUAUGAGCUGCAUUAUAUAAAUUAAUAUGGAACUUUUACAAUUUGAAAAUAUCAGAAUUAACUGUUGACUGAAAUCAGUUGAAUAUUUCUACAUUUGUUUAGACUAAUCCAGUCUGGUUCACAUUCAGUCACAGUCAAGAAACACAGCUUGUGUUAGAUCGAAGAUUGUGGAAAUAUCCUUAAGCAACACACGUCUCCUGCAAAAGGAUUUCAGGAGGUCGUACAGGGAGACAAAGCAUACUAACAUACACAAAGCAUUCAUGCCUUCCUUGGAAAGCAGAGGUUGCAUAAGCAUGUUAUGGAGACAGAUUAGCAAAUCUGAGGCUGAGGGUGGAAGGCUGAAACUUUGGUUUGGAAGAGUCUGGUCCUUUUCCGCCAUUGAGAGCUCCUUUCACACCUAACUCCUUGAGCAGGAAGUGGGGAAAGAUUGAUCCAGAGGCUGACCUUCUCAUAAACCCAGAGCAUGAAAUUUGGGGCUAGAUGAGAAAGUCUGUGAUUUUUGACCUGCCUUGUGUACGUACUAUCAAAAUAAGUGAGGUUCGUGUGGUUUGUAACUAGUCUAGGGGUAUUUGUGCAUAUGCCACCUACAUUUUCAAAUUACAUAAUUGGACACUUUAUUUAGAAGUCACAUUUCUUUAAACAUGCCAUUUUCUGCUUCAGGCUAAGUUGGAAUUGUUUAAGUUCCUUUUGAGCUUUCAAGAGAAAUAGUAGAGACAGAUUUGCUAUGAACCAAAUAAAUACACUAGGUUCCAUUCUUGUUUUUUGGCAGCUUUGCUUCUGCCAGUGAAUAUUAGCUGCUGUAAUGUUAGCUAUUGUGUGCCCAAUUGUAUAUACAAUUAUAUUACAUGCAUUUCAGUAUUUAUAAAUGCAAAUGCUUUAGAGUGAACAACUACCGUAGGCUUCAGUGGGGCAGCCGGACAAGGGGUCAGGUCUGUAGGUGAGGUUGUUCAGCCAAGUCUAUCGAAGGUGAUCCAUAAUGAGUCUCCAGCUGGGGGCUUACUUGUUGUUUAGAAUAGUUUGGUAAAUGGAAGAUUCUUGUCUUUUCAAAAGCAUCUGGGGUACUUGAGGCAAUGAUAAUGUUUGUUACCUAGUUUAUUUAGAUUACAUUAUCCAGGUCGGCCUUGAUUUUUAAAUCAUAUGCUCUAUUCAGUAUUUAAAGUUUCCUCAGAGCAAAGCUAAAAGGAAAAAGAAAAGUGCUUGUUGUCUAUGAUUCAAUACUUACGCACCCUCUCUCACAGGAUUAGUGUGAAAAGCAAAUAAAUUUGAAAACUGCAAGGGACGGUGCAAACUGUGAAGAAUUAUUCACAUCUGUUGAUAUAGAUACAUAUUUGAAUUACAUCUCAGCACUGAAGUAAGUAAAGAUAAAAAGUUCAGAUGACCACUUCGACCCACUCCUAUAAAAACAUAUGACACUUACUGGGUUUUCCUUUAACAGCUUUACUGAAGUAUAAUUUACAUACCGUAGAACCCACUCACUGUAAGUAUACAGCUUACUGAAUUUUAGUCAAUGGAUGCAGUUGUGCAGCCAUCACUAGAACCCAGUUUUAGAACAUUUCCAUGACCCCAAAACGUUCCCUCCUGCCCAUUAGCAGUUAAUCCCUUUUCUAACUCCCAGCCCCAAGAAAUCAUUGGUGUGUUUACUGUCUCUGUAAAUUUGCCUUUUCUGGAUAUUUUAUAUAAAUGGAGUCAUACAAAUAUAGUCUUUUCCAACUGGCUUCUUUCAUUUAGCAUAUGUUUUUGAGAUUCAUCCAUGUUGUAAUAUGUAUCAGUACUUGGCUCCUUUUAAUUGCUGAGUAGAAUUCCAUUGUAUGGGUAUACCACAUUUUAUUUAUCCAUUCAUCAGCUAACAGACAUUUGGGUUGUUUCAAGUUUGGGGCUAUUAUGGAAAAUAACACUAUGAACAUUCACAUAUAUACCUUUGGACAUAUGUUUUCAUUUCUCCUGAGUGGAUUUAUACGAGUGAAUUGUUGUAUUUCCUGGUAAGUUUGUACUUAACUUGUUAGGAAAAUGCCAAUCUGUUAUCCAAAGUGUCUAUAUCAUUUUAUUUUUCCAUCAGCAAUGUAUGGGGGUUUCAGGUUCUCCACAUCCUUGUCAGCACUUUAUAUUGUCUUCUUUUUUAUUAUAAUCAUCCUAGUGGGUGUGUAGUGAUAUCUCAUUGCAGUUUGGAUUUGCAUUUCCCUAAUUACUAAUGAUGUUGAUCAUCUUUCUGUGUGCUUAUUAGACAUUAGUACAUCUUCCUUGUUGAAAUGUCUAUUCAAAUCUUUUGCCCAUUUUUAAAAACUAGGUUGAUUGGCUUACUAUUGAGUUGGAUACCACUUGUUUUGUUACCAUUAAUUACCACUUCAUCUUACACUCACUUGUGGCUCUUGUAUUCUGCUAUCUUCCACUGUUACUAAACUUCUUUACUGCUAUUUAACUUUUUGUGUGAAUGCAUUUUUUUCUCCAAACUUGUUUAUUUUUCAAAUUUUUUUUUUUUUUUUUUUUGCGGUACGCGGGCCUCUCACUGCGUGGCCUCUCCCGUUGCAGAGCACAGGCUCCGGACGCGCAGGCUCAGCGGCCAUGGCUCACGGGCCCAGCCGCUCCGCGGCAUGUGGGAUCCUCCCGGACCGGGGCACGAACCCGUGUCCCCCGCAUCGGCAGGCGGACUCUCAACCACUGUGCCACCAGGGAAGCCCUUUCAAUUUUUAAAUUGAGGUGUAAUUGACAUGUAACAUCAUUUUAGUUUCAGAUGUACAACAUAAUGAUUCGAUAUUUGUAUCUAUUGCAAAACGGUCACCACAGUAAGUCUAGUUAACACCUGUUGCCAUACAUAGUUAGAAAAAUCUUUUUUCUUGUGAUGAGAACUUUUAAGAUUUACUCUUUUAGCAACUUUCAAAUAUGCACUACAGUAUUAUUAACUAUAGCCACCAUACUGUACAUUACAUCCCCAGGACUUACUUAUAAGUGAAAGUUUGUAGUUUUUGACCUCCUUCAUUUUACCACUUCCCACCCCCAGCCUCUGGCCACCACCAACCUGUUGUUCAUAUGAAUGAGCUUUUUUUUUUUUUAGAUUCCACAUAUAAGUGAGAUCACAUGGUUUUUGUCUUUCUCUGACUUAUUUCACUUAGCAUAAUGCCCUCAAGGUCCAUCCGUGUUGUCACAAAUGGCAAGAUUUCCUUUAUAUGGCUGAGUAAUAUUCUUUGGUAUGUAUACAUACACACUUUAUCUAUUCAUCCAUCAAUGGACAGUUUCUCCAAACUUGAUUUUUAAACUCUCUCAAGAAGAUGAGCACUUUCACCUUCUGUACUUUUUUUCCCCACAAACCAGGCCUAGCAAAAUACUCUGAAAAUAAUAUAUCCUUAAUAAGUAUUUCUAAUAUAUAUGAUAAAAAGCUCAUCAUCUUUGUAGAAAUAGCAUCAGCAUACCUGGUAUCAUAAUUUACUAGUAAGUCGAAUUGAAUUUUAUUUCUUUAUUACUUGUUUUGCACAUCAGAGGUUUCAGUUUUAAAACCAUUUUUGAAAGGAAGGAGUGCUUCAGAGUAUAAACUUAGACAAACAAAUUUAAUUAUCAGAGAAAAAUUAAAAGGGAUUCUGAGGAAACAUUAAAAUUUUACGGUAAUUAAUAUGUUUAAAUAAAAUAAACCCAAAAUUUUAGGUAUUUUUUUCUGCAAAUGUCCCUAAGUACCUUAACAAAAGUAGCAAAAACAUAAUUAAUCACAAAUAGUCAAUGCUCUCAAGUGUACCCACAAGUAAGUAGAAAGCCACCAAAUACCUCAACUAUUGCCAGUACUGUGGACCCAAAAUAAAAGAUUUCAAGUUAUAAAUAUAAAUUUACUUAUGUGUAAGCCUGAAUGUAAAACAAAAACAACUUCCCCUAUAACUGGUAAAUAACAGGGGAAAAAAAAAAACUUUUGAGCCUUGCCUGGAAGGAUGCCAAAGAUAUACACUUGAGAAUAUUUUAAGGUAAUUAGCAUUUUUGUCUCUGUGUCAGUAAAAAUAGGCUUUUGCCUGCUACUAAUUUUCUUUGGGUUAGUGAGACCAUUGUAUGAAUGAAGGGCUGUUAAAGGCCAUUUAUAUUGUGCAAACAGAGGCACAAAUUAGAGAGGGCAUGUUAUUAAGGAAAGGGGGCUUAUGAGUGCUCAAUUAUGAGCCCAGAACCUGUUUCUAUUUUAGGGGGAUAGAAAACACAUCAAUCUUGCUUUUAGAAUAUUUUCAAUUAAAAUGAACAGCACAUGGCACACUAAGAAGCAGAAAAGGCUGCGGCCAUGUGGAUUUUGAAUAAUUCUUACGUACCAUCUUAGUAUCAAAACUGAAUACAUAUAAUGGGCUGAAAUAUAAUUUGAGAUCCCAGAAGACGGAAGUCCUUGAGCUGCAUAAGAAAUUCUAAAGGAAAAGAAGUAUAAAACUGGACCAUCUGUUUCACUUUUUAGCAUGCAACCUUUAGAGUAGAAUAUUUGGAGGAGGAUGCUGUUUAAAACCUGAAUAGGGAUGAAAUAUCGUGCGUACACUCGCAACAUAUCAUUAACCUCUCUCCUAAGUAUAAUCAAUAGCGUCUGCAAGCCUAGUUCUGCACGUUAAAAGCAAAGUACAGUGUUAGCUGCACAGAGGUUCACUUCUCCCCACACCAAGACUAUAGUGAGUAGGUUACUCUCCGGCCCUACUCAGCGCCUCCUGCCUAAUUGGGGUGUGCAGAGGGAGACAUCCACUCUGCACAGUCAAGUGUUUGGGGAAUCUAAUUACAGUUUGCGUAUGCAACUAUAUGCAUAAGGGGCGUAUCAGUUUUACCCCUGUUUUAGCCACUACUUCUGAUUGCCUAAUAACAUGUUUCUUUAUAUGUAUUUAUGAAAACAUUUCAAGAUGCCCCCAAAGCUACCUUUUCCCCUAUAUAGAAUACCUAUUUUGGAAUUACAGUUAACAGGUCACCAGGGUUCACAUAGUGGUCAUGGAGUGGAAAACACUAAAUAACACAGCAAAGGGUGACAAGAAUGAACGCCUUUGGUCUCAAAGUAGAGAAACCAUUACCCCCCAAGUCUAUUCAGUAAGUCCAAUGCUGAACCUCUGCAAACCAUGAUUUUAUUGGACUUUUGGCCUUUC
Orcinus orca (killer whale) is the source of this 7844-nucleotide long non-coding RNA. RefSeq lists it as uncharacterized. The record is from RefSeq and is a predicted model, not a curated record. Lineage: Eukaryota; Metazoa; Chordata; Mammalia; Artiodactyla; Delphinidae. The transcript has 3 exons.